Long non-coding RNA from Salmo salar (Atlantic salmon), 705 nucleotides. RefSeq lists it as uncharacterized. The record is from RefSeq and is a predicted model, not a curated record. NCBI's taxonomy places the organism in Eukaryota, Metazoa, Chordata, Actinopteri, Salmoniformes, Salmonidae.
GAAACUCAUAAAAGACACAUCCACGUCCACUUACCCUCGCCUUAUGCCCUUGGGGGAAUCCCCACACCAUCUUGGAGGGCGGUCCAAAUGAUUAGCUAAGCAAGAGAAGUUUGCAACGUAAGCCCCUCAGCCCUCGUUUUUAGUCGAGUUUGCGAUUAUGUUCACUUCGGGCCUGAAACUCCCUAUAAUUCAAUUUGCGAUGAUUGUACAUCCGCUAAGAAAAGUCUGUGAAAAAUUAAAACCUCAACGUCAGUAUGGAGUCAACAUACAAGUUAUUUAACAGCGGUACACAAUAGGAGAGAGACAGAUAAUAUCUCCUUUCGUCGUUAAUAUCAACCAUAAAGGAAAAGGCCAAAGUACCAGAGUCAUACUAUUAAUUGUCCAAAGCAGGGAUGGAGAGUGAGCUAGUGAGAGCCUCCUCAGUGUGGAUGGGGUAUAGCGGACAUUUUCAACAACAAAGACUGCACUUCCAGUUUGUGUUCUUUACUCUGUUGAACUAUUUUAUCUUCAUUCCUAGUUACAGCACAUGGAACCACCGUUGGCAUGCAAAACAUUCAAUCUAAAACAAAACUUAACACGUUAUAAAUAAUAUCAAUGCAGUAUGACGAAUUAUCCAUCCAUUGUGUUAUAUCAUAAAUUGUCUUACAUGCCGUCACUGUUGUCAAAAGAUUCUAAACAUGUUAAAUAAAGUUACUAACCCAGUCA